RNAcentral lists this ribosomal RNA (876 nucleotides) under Triticum aestivum (bread wheat). RNAcentral's name for it is "partial small subunit ribosomal RNA". The record is from RNAcentral. Lineage: Eukaryota; Viridiplantae; Streptophyta; Magnoliopsida; Poales; Poaceae.
AUGUGCAAGAAAGCCAUCCGAUACGCCGUGGUGGACGCCUUCGCGACCGAGCCGUUCAAGGGCAACCCCGCCGCGGUGUGCCUCCUCGACGACGACAACGCCGCGGACGAGCGGUGGAUGCAGUCCGUCGCCACCGAGUUCAACCUCUCCGAGACCGCCUUCCUCGUCCGCGACUUGUCCCGGCCCGCCAGCGCCGCGCCGCUCUUCCACCUUCGAUGGUUCACCCCCGUCACCGAGGUCGACCUGUGUGGGCACGCGACGUUGGCCUCCGCCCACUUCCUCUUCACGGCCGUUCUGCCGGAGCAUGGCAUGAUCGAGUUCAUGACCAAAUCCGGCAUCCUGACUGCGAAGAAAGUUCCUGCGCCAGGGGGCGCAGGCGAGGCCCACGGGAAGCUGUUUAUUGAGCUGAAUUUCCCCAUGAUUGAUUUCCUGGACUGCAACGAGAUGCCGUCGAUUCCAGAGACCCUAAACGGCGCACCAGUGGUCAGUGUUCACAAAUCGGCGGCCGACGGUGAUCUCAUUGUGGAACUUUCUUCAGCAAAAGAGGUUGCCGACAUCCUUCCUAACAUCGAAGAAAUUAAGAAGUUGUCAUGUGGUGGUAUCAUGGUUACAGGACCGGCACCUGCUGGAUCUGGUUAUAACUUCUUCACACGUUUAUUCUGCCCGAAAUUUGGGAUGGAUGAGGACCCUGUUACUGGCAGUAUACAUUGUGUAUUGGGACCCUUUUGGGGUAGAAAGCUUGGGAAGCAAAAACUGACGGCAUUUCAAGCAUCUCCAAGGGGUGGAACGCUAUACCUGGAACUGGAUGACGCAAAUCGGCGAGUGAAAAUCCAAGGAGAAACCGUUACUGUCAUGUCCGGGACACUCCUGGUGUAA